AGGAAAGCAUGUCUAUUCUCCCUCUGAUGCCUUUCUCACUGCCCUGAAGUUAGCCAGCCCAGUCUUCCGAGCGUCCCGCCCGCCGAUGCGCUCACUCCUGGCCAGGAUGGCCUCCUGUCUGGCCCUGCGCAUGGCGCUGCUGCUGGUCUCUGGGGUUCUGGCCCCUGCGGUGCUCACAGAUGAGGGUCUGCAGGAGCCGGUGCCCACGCUGUGGAACGAGCCAGCCGAGCUGCCGUCGGGAGAAGGCCCUGUGGAGAGCACCAGCCCCGGCCGGGAACCCGUGGACACCGGUCCCCCAGCCCCCACCGCCGCGCCAGGACCCGAGGACAGCACCGCGCAGGAGCGGCUGGACCAGGGCGGCGGUACGGGCGGGGCAGGGGCGGGGUCUCUGGGGCCCGGCGCCAUCGCGGCCAUCGUGAUCGCCGCCCUGCUGGCCACCUGCGUGGUGCUGGCGCUCGUGGUCGUCGCGCUGAGAAAGUUUUCCGCCUCCUGAAGCCAAUAAAGGGGCCGCGUCCGGCCGCGGCGCGAAUCGGCUGCACUCCCGGCGCGCCCGUGUGUCCGCGCGUGCAGAGGCUCUGAGGUCUCAGGACCGCCAAGCACCCUGCUGUGGCCUGUGGGAAGACGCUGCAGAGUCCACUGGAUCUAAAUCGAAGGCCUGUUCCGGCAAGCAGGGAAACUGUCCUGGCAGAGAGGGUGGUCCUGGACACACAGGACCCCUCAACAGCUGGGACGGAGCUGGGGCAAGGAGAGGGGCUGCAGCUCUGGGUAACGGAAGGUGUGAGGGACCCAAGGCCUGUGUCUGAGCUGUGCAGAAGUCCCAGCCCCACGCCUGUGCUUAGACCCCCUGUAGGGCCCCCAUCAGGGACACUUCAGGGCCUCUGUGGCCUUCCAUAGCUGUGCCCUCACUGCCACUGCAGCAGAGGGGCAUCCGCAGCUCCCGCAAACAGCCCCUUCUGUUUCUGGAGUCUAUAAGUGUAGCCCAAAUCCACUCCCAUGCUGAGGUGAGGCCCAACUGCUCCCCGUUGCUCUGGAAACUUCCUCAAGCCCCUCCUUUCGGACAAGCCUCCUCCACCGGCCUCGAAGGGGUGCUCCUCUCUCCCUGCCUGGAACCAAACACCGCCUUCCUUUGUGUACCAGGGCAAUAAAGAGUAGACCUUCAUCUCCUUUAUUUUAUA
This is a non-coding RNA of Saimiri boliviensis boliviensis (Bolivian squirrel monkey), 1175 nucleotides long. The record is from RefSeq and is a predicted model, not a curated record. Lineage: Eukaryota; Metazoa; Chordata; Mammalia; Primates; Cebidae.